Molecule: ribosomal RNA, 388 nt
Filed under: uncultured eukaryote
Lineage: Eukaryota
Description: partial 18S ribosomal RNA
Rfam family: Eukaryotic small subunit ribosomal RNA
Source: RNAcentral
CAAGAGCGUAUAUUAAAGUUGUUGCAGUUAAAAAGCUCGUAGUUGGAUUUCUGGUACAAUGCGCCUGGCCCGCGACCGUUAGGUCUGUGAGUGCCGGUGCGCGUUUGCCAUCCUUCUAGAAAACGUUUCUACCCUUCACUGGGCCGGACUCGCGAUCUAGAUCUUUUACUUUGAAAAAAUUAGAGUGUUUAAAGCAGGCUUUUGCUGUUAAUACAUUAGCAUGGAAUAAUAAUCUAGGACUUCGGUUCUAUUUUGUUGGUUUCUAGUACUGAAGUAAUGAUUGAUAGGGAUAGUUGGGGGUGCUAGUAUUGGCCGGCCAGAGGUGAAAUUCUUGGAUUCGGUCAAGACUAACUUAUGCGAAAGCAUUCACCAAGGAUGUCUUCUUUAA